This 490-nucleotide ribosomal RNA is filed under the name uncultured Glomus. Its description in RNAcentral is "SSU rRNA". It matches the Rfam family "Eukaryotic small subunit ribosomal RNA", at positions 589 to 1080 of the family's 1831-position model. Lineage: Eukaryota; Fungi; Glomeromycota; Glomeromycetes; Glomerales; Glomeraceae. The record is from RNAcentral.
CUCCAAUAGCGUAUAUUAAAGUUGUUGCAGUUAAAAAGCUCGUAGUUGAAUUUCGGAAUCAAUAUGUCGGUCGUGCCUUCGGUACGUACUGGUAUCAUUGGUUUCUCCUUUCUGACGAACCAUGAUGUCAUUAAUUUGGUGUUAUGGGGAGUUAGGACUGUUACUUUGAAAAAAUUAGAGUGUUUAAAGCAGGCUUUAGCUUGAAUACAUUAGCAUGGAAUAAUGAAAUAGGACGUUGGAACCUAUUUUGUUGGUUUCUAGGAUCAACGUAAUGAUUAAUAGGGAUAGUUGGGGGCAUUAGUAUUCAAUUGUCAGAGGUGAAAUUCUUGGAUUUAUUGAAGACUAACUACUGCGAAAGCAUUUGCCAAGGAUGUUUUCAUUAAUCAAGAACGAAAGUUAGGGGAUCGAAGACGAUCAGGUACCGUCGUAGUCUUAACCAUAAACUAUGCCGACUAGGGAUCGGAUGAUGUUAAUUUUUUAAUGACUCAUU